RNAcentral lists this ribosomal RNA (323 nucleotides) under uncultured bacterium. RNAcentral describes it as "partial 16S ribosomal RNA". It matches the Rfam family "Bacterial small subunit ribosomal RNA", at positions 430 to 767 of the family's 1533-position model. The record is from RNAcentral.
CCUCUUUUGUNAGGGAAGAACACAAUGACGGUACCUGACGAAUCACCAUCNGCUAACUCGGUGCCAGCNGCCGCGGUAAUACGGGGGAUGCAAGCGUUAUCCGGAAUUAUUGGGCGUAAAGCGUCCGCAGGUGGUUUANCAAGUCUGCUGUUAAAGGAUGGGGCUUAACUCCAUAUCGGCNGUGGAAACUGNGCNACUANAGUACGGUAGGGGUNGCGGGAAUUCCCGNUGUAGCGGUGAAAUGCGUAGAUCUUGGGAANAACACCGGCGGCGAAGGCGCNCUGCUGGGCCUGUACUGACACUGANGGACNAAAGCUAGGGGA